Molecule: long non-coding RNA, 569 nt
Filed under: Rattus norvegicus (Norway rat)
Lineage: Eukaryota; Metazoa; Chordata; Mammalia; Rodentia; Muridae
Description: long non-coding RNA NONRATT017438
Source: RNAcentral
GGUCUCUGCCACUGCCAGCGGAGAAACAAAGCAGCCAUGUCUUGGAGGGGUCUGCCUCAGAGUGGCUGCUGAGUCUCAGGAGUUGUGUAUCUCUAGCGCUGUGGUUCGUAACCAAUGUAGCCAUGUCUAACGAGACUCCAGCACUGGGCUCUGGGAUGAUGGUGUUGACAGCACCCCUGUGUGUUCAUGAGUGUCAGAGUCCUGAGCUGUCUGUACACCUCACAGAAGCUUGCCGAAGAGCUCCCCUUUGGGAAUGUGAUCCGUGUGCUCCUCUCACCGUGUGCUUGUGUCCUGCAGGUAUGCCAACAGCAGCCUCAUAAAGUACAUGGAGAAACACAAGGUCAAGCCUGACAGCAAAGUGUUCCUUCUGGUAGGUGCUUCUCUCCCAGAUUGAGACCUUGUGAGCACACACGUCUGGUCCUGCUCUCUGUGAAAUUGUCCCCGCCAGUCUCCCUUUUGAAAGGAAAUCAGAAAUUAAUUAAUUGCUGGAUACUUGAGAAAUUGAAUCUUACUCUGUUAAGGAAUCUUCCAUAACUACUAGUCUUAAUUUAUUAAAUGAUUUAUAUCAG